Molecule: long non-coding RNA, 837 nt
Organism: Ornithorhynchus anatinus (platypus)
Lineage: Eukaryota; Metazoa; Chordata; Mammalia; Monotremata; Ornithorhynchidae
Exons: 3
Source: RefSeq, a predicted model, not a curated record
AAGCCGAGGCGGGAGGUGGGGUCUGACGCCUGAUCGGGGCUGAUGGAGAUCUGGAAAGGGAAAGGGGAGGCAGGUUAGGCAUCUCCUUCCCACGCCCCCCAGGGCUAAAAUGACUACUGAAAGCACAAGACGCAGAAAGAAGAAGGUGCCGUCUUCGGGGGGGGACAAAGUGUUCCUAGCAAAAUCCACAAUAUAUCGUACCCCGACAUUUCUGAGAAGUCCACAUUGCAGAAGAAAAUAUUGAUGGCGAGCAUCUCCGUUGAAGGCUUGAAAAUCGACACAUUCGGGCUUCAUGGGCACCUACAUCAUGAAAAAUGCCUUUUUGCCCCCUCAGAGAGAACUCUGGCUCAGCCCGCCUGCUCCUCAGACUUCUCAACCCGAGUAGCUUGGAUGACAUGGCCUGGGGUGAGGAGGCAAACAUCUGGAGAAACCAGCCUGCGGGCUCCCCUGUCAGCAGAAUUCCAUCGGUUCCUGAUUAGCAACCCACAGAAACAGAGAGGGCAGAGCUGACGUUAAAGAUACGCCGAAGCCCAGGCUCCAGUGCCGCGAUUUAAGCAAGAGGCCGUUGGAAGAUAAUAACUACCGACAGACCAGCCUACUGUGUGGCAAUCAGAAGAGGCUUCAGAAGAGCGGAAGACCAAGAGCUGGAUUAGAAUCAUAUCGGCCGCAAGUCGACGUGCCGCAGUGUGGAAUGGGUUUUUGGGCACACUUUGGCCUUUCCCAGUAUACUCACACACGGAUAGGAUCUCACCAUGGGUAGCAUUGUAUUAAAUACAAAGGACAGCUCCUUUCAGGGAAUAAUUUUCAUGAAUAAUUAAAUCUCAGAUUGUAAUCAAA